Molecule: ribosomal RNA, 214 nt
Filed under: uncultured bacterium
Lineage: Bacteria
Description: partial 16S ribosomal RNA
Rfam family: Bacterial small subunit ribosomal RNA
Source: RNAcentral
UCUACCCCUUUGAGUGGGGGAUAACCUCGGGAAAACCGGGGCUAAUACCGCAUAAAAUCUUCGGGACGGAAGUGCUGAAGAUCAAAGGAGCAAUUCGCUUAAGGAGGGGGUCGCGGCUGAUUAGCUAGUUGGCGGGGUAAUGGCCCACCAAGGCAAAGAUCGGUAGCCGGCCUGAGAGGGCGCACGGCCACACUGGAACUGAAACACGGUCCAG